GUGGGGAAUUUUGGACAAUGGGGGCAACCCUGAUCCAGCAAUGCCGCGUGCAGGAAGAAGGCCUUCGGGUUGUAAACUGCUUUUGUACGGAACGAAAAGGCUCUGGUUAAUACCUGGGGCACAUGACGGUACCGUAAGAAUAAGCACCGGCUAACUACGUGCCAGCAGCCGCGGUAAUACGUAGGGUGCAAGCGUUAAUCGGAAUUACUGGGCGUAAAGCGUGCGCAGGCGGUUAUAUAAGACAGAUGUGAAAUCCCCGGGCUCAACCUGGGAACUGCAUUUGUGACUGUAUAGCUAGAGUACGGUAGAGGGGGAUGGAAUUCCGCGUGUAGCAGUGAAAUGCGUAGAUAUGCGGAGGAACACCGAUGGCGAAGGCAAUCCCCUGGACCUGUACUGACGCUCAUGCACGAAAGCGUGGGGAGCAAACAGGAUUAGAAACCCUUGUAGUCC
Molecule: ribosomal RNA, 450 nt
Filed under: uncultured bacterium
Lineage: Bacteria
Description: partial 16S ribosomal RNA
Rfam family: Bacterial small subunit ribosomal RNA
Source: RNAcentral